Borealophlyctis nickersoniae is the source of this 72-nucleotide non-coding RNA. The record is from the annotation of a GenBank genome assembly. NCBI's taxonomy places the organism in Eukaryota, Fungi, Chytridiomycota, Chytridiomycetes, Rhizophlyctidales, Borealophlyctidaceae.
AGCACUUUAGCGCAGAGGAAGCGCGUUGGGCUCAUAACCCAAAGGCCCCAGGAUCGAAACCUGGAAGUGCUA